ACACGACUACAUUAGAUACCCCUGUAGUCCUAGCCGUAAACGAUACUCGCUAGGUGUCGGCCACGGUGCGACCGUUGUCGGUGCCGUAGGGAAGCCGUGAAGCGAGCCACCUGGGAAGUACGGCCGCAAGGCUGAAAACUUAAAGGAAUUGGCGGGGGAGCACCACAACGGGUGGAGCUUGCGGUUUAAUUGGAUUCAACGCCGGAAAUCUUACCGGGACCGACAGCAACAUGAAGGCCAGGCUGAAGACUUUGCCGGAUUAGCUG
Molecule: ribosomal RNA, 266 nt
Filed under: uncultured archaeon
Lineage: Archaea
Description: partial 16S ribosomal RNA
Rfam family: Archaeal small subunit ribosomal RNA
Source: RNAcentral